RNAcentral lists this ribosomal RNA (229 nucleotides) under uncultured bacterium. RNAcentral's name for it is "partial 16S ribosomal RNA". It matches the Rfam family "Bacterial small subunit ribosomal RNA", at positions 568 to 796 of the family's 1533-position model. The record is from RNAcentral.
UACGUAGGCGGAAAAUUAAGUCAGAGGUGAAAGUUUGCGGCUCAACCGUAAAAUUGCCUUUGAAACUGGUUGUCUUGAAUUAUUGUGAAGUGGUUAGAAUAUGUAGUGUAGCGGUGAAAUGCAUAGAUAUUACAUAGAAUACCAAUUGCGAAGGCAGAUCACUAACAAUAUAUUGACGCUGAUGGACGAAAGCGUGGGGAGCGAACAGGAUUAGAUACCCUGGUAGUCC